GACGAACGCUGGCGGCGUGCUUAACACAUGCAAGUCGAACGGAAAGGCCCUGCUUUUGUGGGGUGCUCGAGUGGCGAACGGGUGAGUAACACGUGAGUAACCUGCCCUUGACUUUGGGAUAACUUCAGGAAACUGGGGCUAAUACCGGAUAGGAGCUCCUGCUGCAUGGUGGGGGUUGGAAAGUUUCGGCGGUUGGGGAUGGACUCGCGGCUUAUCAGCUUGUUGGUGGGGUAGUGGCUUACCAAGGCUUUGACGGGUAGCCGGCCUGAGAGGGUGACCGGCCACAUUGGGACUGAGAUACGGCCCAGACUCCUACGGGAGGCAGCAGUGGGGAAUAUUGCACAAUGGGCGGAAGCCUGAAGCAGCAACGCCGCGUGCGGGAUGACGGCCUUCGGGUUGUAAACCGCUUUCGCCUGUGACGAAGCGUGAGUGACGGUAAUGGAUAAAGAAGCACCGGCUAACUACGUG
This 468-nucleotide ribosomal RNA is filed under the name uncultured bacterium. Its description in RNAcentral is "partial 16S ribosomal RNA". It matches the Rfam family "Bacterial small subunit ribosomal RNA", at positions 28 to 507 of the family's 1533-position model. The record is from RNAcentral.